CUCCAAAAGUUCUACAUUCCGAGG
This 24-nucleotide non-coding RNA is filed under the name Arabidopsis thaliana (thale cress). The record is from RNAcentral. Lineage: Eukaryota; Viridiplantae; Streptophyta; Magnoliopsida; Brassicales; Brassicaceae.